UACGGAGGGUGCAAGCGUUAAUCGGAAUUACUGGGCGUAAAGCGCGCGUAGGCGGCUUUGCAAGUCGAGUGUGAAAUCCCCAGGCUCAACCUGGGAACUGCAUUCGAGACUGCAUAGCUAGAGUAUGGGAGAGGGAAGUGGAAUUUCAGGUGUAGCGGUGAAAUGCGUAGAUAUCUGAAGGAACAUCAGUGGCGAAAGCGACUUCCUGGACCAAUACUGACGCUCAUGUGCGAAAGCUGGGGGAGCAAACCGG
This 253-nucleotide ribosomal RNA is filed under the name uncultured bacterium. RNAcentral's name for it is "partial 16S ribosomal RNA". It matches the Rfam family "Bacterial small subunit ribosomal RNA", at positions 524 to 776 of the family's 1533-position model. The record is from RNAcentral.